UACGUAGGGGGCAAGCGUUGUCCGGAAUCAUUGGGCGUAAAGCGCGUGUAGGCGGCUGAGUAAGUCUGCUCUGAAAGCCCGGGGCUCAACCCCGGGAGGCGGGUGGAUACUGCUCAGCUCGAGUCCGGAAGAGGAGUGUGGAAUUCCUGGUGUAGCGGUGAAAUGCGCAGAUAUCAGGAGGAACACCAAUGGCGAAGGCAGCUCGCUGGGACGGUACUGACGCUGAGACGCGAAAGCGUGGGGAGCAAACAGG
This 253-nucleotide ribosomal RNA is filed under the name uncultured bacterium. RNAcentral's name for it is "partial 16S ribosomal RNA". It matches the Rfam family "Bacterial small subunit ribosomal RNA", at positions 524 to 776 of the family's 1533-position model. The record is from RNAcentral.